Molecule: long non-coding RNA, 277 nt
Filed under: Elaeis guineensis (African oil palm)
Lineage: Eukaryota; Viridiplantae; Streptophyta; Magnoliopsida; Arecales; Arecaceae
Description: long non-coding RNA (EGUI_LNC068354)
Source: RNAcentral
AUUUAAAUUGCUAAAAAAAUAUGAAGGUUCAUGCAAAUGAGGUUCAGAUUCUCUUACAUUAUCAUCUUCAUGCAAAUGAGAUUCAAGUUCUCCUACAAUAUUGAACUGAUUAUCUUCAUCACCAUCUUCAUCAUUGUUACUGUUUUCAUCAAACCAUUCUUCAUUAGCCUCAUUCUCAUCUGAUUCAAAACCUUGAUUAUCAUAAUUUAUUUCAGUGUUGAUCUAAUCAUCGUCCUCCAUUUGAGUAUCGUAUCCCACACUUACUGCUACUUCCAGC